AUGCUUAGUUUUAAUCAAUUCAAAAAAAAAAAAAAAAAAAAAAACCUCCCCCCAUUCUUAUGUUUCUGUCUAGAGAGGUUGUGUAUUUAAUGUUGCUAUUUUAAUUGGUGACUGUUGCUGUUAGAGAUACUUUUACAUGGGAUUAUUGCUUAUUUUUUGCUUAUGGAAUUACUGCUUGUCCUUCUAUUGAAUUUGGAGUUGCUGCUUUUUGUUUUUUUUUGCUAUUGAAUAUUUGGAAUUAUGUUAUUGAUGUGCCUGUUUGGAAUUAUGUUAUUGAUGUCCCUCUCUCACUCUCUACAUUCUUUUGUAUCGGAAACCUGUUACGUAACCAUCUAAAAUUGUCUUUCUGAACCAAUAUAUUGUGAACAUUCAUGUUGUUUUAUAUGUGGGUAUGUAUAUAUAUAAUUAUUUGACUUCAGAUUUUGAAUGUUUCAUAUGUUGAUAAUGAAUGUCUAGUUGUUUAGUUUUUCUUAAGUGGGUUUGCUUUGUUACCAGUUUGAGGUAUUGUCUUCCUUUCAUCCUACUCUAGCAGUUUGUGGGUUUCCUACAGAAGAGGGGCACGUGUUCUAAUUGCAGAAACUGGUUUGUGAUUACGGCUUGCCUCCGUCAAUUAACAAUAGUAUUAAGGAGCAUUGGCCAACUUGUUCCUUGAAAUAAGCAUUGGCCCAUGAAUGAGCCUUAUGGAAAUUGUAGCCUUAUGGAAGAGGAAUUAAAAUUGUUUGAUUUAUUUUUAGUUUAUGUGCUUGUGUAAAGUGUUAAUAGUGCAAUUUGAAAAUUGAAUCAUUAUUUUGUAUUUUGUAUUUUUUUUUUUUUUGAGGAGUUUUAUUUUGCAGAUUUAGUGCAAUUGAAAUUAUACAUUUUCUUUUUAUAUAAAUUGCAGUGUUUUAUAUUUAUUUUUUUUAAA
Molecule: non-coding RNA, 904 nt
Organism: Camellia sinensis
Lineage: Eukaryota; Viridiplantae; Streptophyta; Magnoliopsida; Ericales; Theaceae
Source: RefSeq, a predicted model, not a curated record